This 638-nucleotide ribosomal RNA is filed under the name Microbacterium sp. RNAcentral's name for it is "bacterial SSU rRNA". It matches the Rfam family "Bacterial small subunit ribosomal RNA", at positions 67 to 713 of the family's 1533-position model. The record is from RNAcentral. Lineage: Bacteria; Bacillati; Actinomycetota; Actinomycetes; Micrococcales; Microbacteriaceae.
CGAUGAAGCACCAGCUUGCUGGUGUGGAUUAGUGGCGAACGGGUGAGUAACACGUGAGCAACCUGCCCCGGACUUUGGGAUAAGCGCUGGAAACGGCGUCUAAUACCGAAUAUGCACCAUGAAGGCAUCUUCAAUGGUGGGAAAGAUUUAUCGGUCCGGGAGGGGCUCGCGGCCUAUCAGCUUGUUGGUGAGGUAAUGGCUCACCAAGGCGUCGACGGGUAGCCGGCCUGAGAGGGUGACCGGCCACACUGGGACUGAGACACGGCCCAGACUCCUACGGGAGGCAGCAGUGGGGAAUAUUGCACAAUGGGCGCAAGCCUGAUGCAGCAACGCCGCGUGGGGGAUGACGGCCUUCGGGUUGUAAACCCCUUUUAGUAGGGAAGAAGCCUUCGGGUGACGGUACCUGCAGAAAAAGCGCCGGCUAACUACGUGCCAGCAGCCGCGGUAAUACGUAGGGCGCAAGCGUUAUCCGGAAUUAUUGGGCGUAAAGAGCUCGUAGGCGGCUUGUCGCGUCUGCUGUGAAAACUGGAGGCUCAACUUCCAGCGUGCAGUGGGUACGGGCAGGCUAGAGUGCGGUAGGGGAGAUUGGAAUUCCUGGUGUAGCGGUGGAAUGCGCAGAUAUCAGGAGGAACACCGAU